GACGAACGCUGGCGGCGCGCUUAACACAUGCAAGUCGAGCGAUGAAAUCUUAAUAGAACCCUUCGGGGUGAAGAUAAGACGGAUUAGCGGCGGACUGGUGAGUAACACGUGAGUAACCUGCUUUUUACACAGGGAUAGCCUCAGGAAACCGGGCUUAAAACCUGAUGAAACUAUCAAAUCACAUGAUUAAGAAAGUUAAAACUCCGGUGGUAAAAGAUGGAGUGGCGUCUCAUUGGCUAGUUGGUGAAGGUAACGGCCCACCAAGGCAACGAUGGGUAGCCGGCGGGGGAGGGUGAACGGCCACAUUGGAACUGAGAAACGGUCCAAACUCCGACGGGAAGCAGCAGUGGGUAAUAUAGCACAAUGGGGGAAACCCUGAUGCAGCGACGCCGCGUGAGCGAAGAAGGCCUUCGGGUCGUAAAGCGCUUUUAUAUAGGAAGAGAAUGACGGUACCAUAAGAAAAAGCCCCGGCUAACUACGUG
This 482-nucleotide ribosomal RNA is filed under the name uncultured bacterium. Its description in RNAcentral is "partial 16S ribosomal RNA". It matches the Rfam family "Bacterial small subunit ribosomal RNA", at positions 28 to 507 of the family's 1533-position model. The record is from RNAcentral.